GAUGAACGCUGGCGGCGUGCCUAAUACAUGCAAGUCGAGCGAACGGACGAGAAGCUUGCUUCUCUGAUGUUAGCGGCGGACGGGUGAGUAACACGUGGAUAACCUACCUAUAAGACUGGGAUAACUUCGGGAAACCGGAGCUAAUACCGGAUAAUAUUUUGAACCGCAUGGUUCAAAAGUGAAAGACGGUCUUGCUGUCACUUAUAGAUGGAUCCGCGCUGCAUUAGCUAGUUGGUAAGGUAACGGCUUACCAAGGCAACGAUGCAUAGCCGACCUGAGAGGGUGAUCGGCCACACUGGAACUGAGACACGGUCCAGACUCCUACGGGAGGCAGCAGUAGGGAAUCUUCCGCAAUGGGCGAAAGCCUGACGGAGCAACGCCGCGUGAGUGAUGAAGGUCUUCGGAUCGUAAAACUCUGUUAUUAGGGAAGAACAUAUGUGUAAGUAACUGUGCACAUCUUGACGGUACCUAAUCAGAAAGCCACGGCUAACUACGUGCCAGCAGCCGCGGUAAUACGUAGGUGGCAAGCGUUAUCCGGAAUUAUUGGGCGUAAAGCGCGCGUAGGCGGUUUUUUAAGUCUGAUGUGAAAGCCCACGGCUCAACCGUGGAGGGUCAUUGGAAACUGGAAAACUUGAGUGCAGAAGAGGAAAGUGGAAUUCCAUAUGUAGCGGUGAAAUGCGCAGAGAUAUGGAGGAACACCAGUGGCGAAGGCGACUUUCUGGUCUGUAACUGACGCUGAUGUGCGAAAGCGUGGGGAUCAAACAGGAUUAGAUACCCUGGUAGUCCACGCCGUAAACGAUGAGUGCUAAGUGUUAGGGGGUUUCCGCCCCUUAGUGCUGCAGCUAACGCAUUAAGCACUCCGCCUGGGGAGUACGACCGCAAGGUUGAAACUCAAAGGAAUUGACGGGGACCCGCACAAGCGGUGGAGCAUGUGGUUUAAUUCGAAGCAACGCGAAGAACCUUACCAAAUCUUGACAUCCUUUGACAACUCUAGAGAUAGAGCUUUCCCCUUCGGGGGACAAAGUGACAGGUGGUGCAUGGUUGUCGUCAGCUCGUGUCGUGAGAUGUUGGGUUAAGUCCCGCAACGAGCGCAACCCUUAAGCUUAGUUGCCAUCAUUAAGUUGGGCACUCUAAGUUGACUGCCGGUGACAAACCGGAGGAAGGUGGGGAUGACGUCAAAUCAUCAUGCCCCUUAUGAUUUGGGCUACACACGUGCUACAAUGGACAAUACAAAGGGCAGCGAAACCGUGAGGUCAAGCAAAUCCCAUAAAGUUGUUCUCAGUUCGGAUUGUAGUCUGCAACUCGACUACAUGAAGCUGGAAUCGCUAGUAAUCGUAGAUCAGCAUGCUACGGUGAAUACGUUCCCGGGUCU
Molecule: ribosomal RNA, 1372 nt
Filed under: uncultured bacterium
Lineage: Bacteria
Description: bacterial SSU rRNA
Rfam family: Bacterial small subunit ribosomal RNA
Source: RNAcentral